UACGAAGGGGGCUAGCGUUGUUCGGAAUUACUGGGCGUAAAGCGCGUGUAGGCGGCUCGGAAAGUCGGGUGUGAAAGCCCUGGGCUCAACCCAGGAAGUGCAUUCGAAACUUCCGAGCUGGAGUCCCGGAGAGGAUGGCGGAAUUCUCGGUGUAGAGGUGAAAUUCGUAGAUAUCGAGAGGAACACCGGUGGCGAAGGCGGCCAUCUGGACGGUGACUGACGCUGAGACGCGAAAGCGUGGGGAGCAAACAGG
Molecule: ribosomal RNA, 253 nt
Filed under: uncultured bacterium
Lineage: Bacteria
Description: partial 16S ribosomal RNA
Rfam family: Bacterial small subunit ribosomal RNA
Source: RNAcentral